This 634-nucleotide long non-coding RNA is filed under the name Homo sapiens (human). RNAcentral's name for it is "non-protein coding lnc-SLC11A1-1:1". Lineage: Eukaryota; Metazoa; Chordata; Mammalia; Primates; Hominidae. The record is from RNAcentral.
GCGGGAGAGGGGGAGGGGAGGAAGUGCCGAGGGGUGUUUGUCGGGCUUGGCAUUAUUAAUUUUUAAAUGGUGAACUUACAAAAUAGUAACGACGAGUGAAAAGAACUUCAUAAACGAGGAAAAAGACCAACCCGCAGACCCACGGCGCGCACCACGGAGGGGCUUGCAGCGAGAAGACAGGGACCUCCGUUCCCAAGUGCCCAGCACUGCGCCACAGGCCGGGUGGAACGGGCCUUGAGGGCCUCUGGUUUGAGGUCCCCCACGGUCGGGCUUUGGGCCCACCGCGUGCGGCGCCGUGCUGGGCUCCUAGGAUCGGCAGCGAGUCCAGUGACUCCCACCGCACCCCCAGUAAUCACAGGGCGGCCGUCGACCGCGGGCAGGGGAGGGGGUCUGGGAAGGCCCCUGGAGAAGGUGGCAUUUCCUCGAGGUCGGUGGAAUUUGGCUACGCGAAAGGAACAGCGCGUACGAAAACUUCAGGCGGGAACGCGCGGUGGCCCGUGCGCGGCGGAACCUGGCUCCCCUCCCCUCCGGAGCUCGCGGGGAUCCCUCCCUCCCACCCCUCCCCUCCCCCCCGCGCCCCGAUUCCGGCCCCAGCCGGGGGGGAGGCCGGGCGCCCGGGCCAGAGUCCGGCCGG